RNAcentral lists this transfer RNA (75 nucleotides) under Rattus norvegicus (Norway rat). It matches the Rfam family "tRNA", at positions 1 to 62 of the family's 71-position model. Rfam says of the family: Transfer RNA (tRNA) molecules are approximately 80 nucleotides in length. Their secondary structure includes four short double-helical elements and three loops (D, anti-codon, and T loops). The record is from Rfam by way of RNAcentral. Lineage: Eukaryota; Metazoa; Chordata; Mammalia; Rodentia; Muridae.
GGGGAUUUAGCUCAGUGGUAGAGCGCUUGCCUAGCAAGCUGCCUAGCAAGCGCAAGGUCCUGGGUUCAGUCCCCA